AGUCGAGCGCACCUUCGGGUGAGCGGCGGACGGGUUAGUAACGCGUGGGAACAUACCCUUUGGUACGGAAUAGCCUCUGGAAACGGAGAGUAAUACCGUAUGAGCCCUUCGGGGGAAAGAUUUAUCGCCAAAGGAUUGGCCCGCGUUAGAUUAGGUAGUUGGUGGGGUAAUGGCCUACCAAGCCUACGAUCUAUAGCUGGUUUUAGAGGAUGAUCAGCAACACUGGGACUGAGACACGGCCCAGACUCCUACGGGAGGCAGCAGUGGGGAAUCUUGGACAAUGGGGGCAACCCUGAUCCAGCCAUGCCGCGUGAGUGAUGAAGGCCUUAGGGUCGUAAAGCUCUUUCGCCUGUGAAGAUAAUGACGGUAGCAGGUAAAGAAACCCCGGCUAACUCCGUGCCAGCAGCCGCGGUAAUACGGAGGGGGUUAGCGUUGUUCGGAAUUACUGGGCGUAAAGCGCACGUAGGCGGACUGGAAAGUUGGGGGUGAAAUCCCAGGGCUCAACCCUGGAACUGCCUCCAAAACUAUCAGUCUAGAGUUCGAGAGAGGUGAGUGGAAUUCCGAGUGUAGAGGUGAAAUUCGUAGAUAUUCGGAGGAACACCAGUGGCGAAGGCGGCUCACUGGCUCGAUACUGACGCUGAGGUGCGAAAGUGUGGGGAGCAAACAGGAUUAGAUACCCUGGUAGUCCACACCGUAAACGAUGAAUGCCAGUCGUCGGGUAGCAUGCUAUUCGGUGACACACCUAACGGAUUAAGCAUUCCGCCUGGGGAGUACGGUCGCAAGAUUAAAACUCAAAGGAAUUGACGGGG
Molecule: ribosomal RNA, 809 nt
Filed under: Ruegeria sp. Rg193
Lineage: Bacteria; Pseudomonadati; Pseudomonadota; Alphaproteobacteria; Rhodobacterales; Roseobacteraceae
Description: bacterial SSU rRNA
Rfam family: Bacterial small subunit ribosomal RNA
Source: RNAcentral